RNAcentral lists this long non-coding RNA (401 nucleotides) under Ananas comosus (pineapple). Its description in RNAcentral is "long non-coding RNA (ACOM_LNC029002)". The record is from RNAcentral. Lineage: Eukaryota; Viridiplantae; Streptophyta; Magnoliopsida; Poales; Bromeliaceae.
AAAUAUUGUAAAUUAUAAAUAUAUCCCUACGAAGUUUAACUUUUUGUCUCUAUUAAAGUCCUAAUAUUUUUAAAUAUAUUCCUACCGUUAGAAUCCGUUAGAAAAUUUUAGUUAACCAUAUGUUAAAUAUUUAAUCAUGAUUAGUUUAUAAGAUAACUUGAUAUUUUUGCUCUUCUUAUAUUAUACUAUUGUGACUUUUGGAGGAGUAUAUUUAUGAUGGCAAAAUCGACAUUUCACUUAAAAUAUAAGCAGUUCUGUAAUGAUAACAAAUCAGAGAGAUAUAUUUGAAAAUAUUAGAAUUUUUUUGUAGGAACAACAUAUAAAAGUUGAAAUUUGUAGAAAUAUAUUUGCAAUUCAUUAUAUUUGUAGGGACGUGCAUGCAUUUAACCCUAGUUAUAAUA